UAAGUUAUUAAGGGCGCACGGUGGAUGCCUUGGCACUAGAAGCCGAUGAAGGACGUUACUAACGACGAUAUGCUUUGGGGAGCUGUAAGUAAGCUUUGAUCCAGAGAUUUCCGAAUGGGGAAACCCAGCAUGAGUUAUGUCAUGUUAUCGAUAUGUGAAUACAUAGCAUAUCAGAAGGCACACCCGGAGAACUGAAACAUCUUAGUACCCGGAGGAAGAGAAAGAAAAUUCGAUUCCCUUAGUAGCGGCGAGCGAAACGGGAAGAGCCCAAACCAACAAGCUUGCUUGUUGGGGUUGUAGGACACUCUAUACGGAGUUACAAAAGACGACAUUAGACGAAUCAUCUGGAAAGAUGAAUCAAAGAAGGUAAUAAUCCUGUAGUCGAAAAUGUUGUCUCUCUUGAGUGGAUCCUGAGUACGACGGAGCACGUGAAAUUCCGUCGGAAUCUGGGAGGACCAUCUCCUAAGGCUAAAUACUCUCUAGUGACCGAUAGUGAACCAGUACCGUGAGGGAAAGGUGAAAAGCACCCCGGAAGGGGAGUGAAAUAGAACCUGAAACCGUGUGCUUACAAGUAGUCAGAGCCCGUUAAUGGGUGAUGGCGUGCCUUUUGUAGAAUGAACCGGCGAGUUACGAUUUGAUGCAAGGUUAAGCAGUAAAUGUGGAGCCGUAGCGAAAGCGAGUCUGAAUAGGGCGUUUAGUAUUUGGUCGUAGACCCGAAACCAGGUGAUCUACCCUUGGUCAGGUUGAAGUUCAGGUAACACUGAAUGGAGGACCGAACCGACUUACGUUGAAAAGUGAGCGGAUGAACUGAGGGUAGCGGAGAAAUUCCAAUCGAACCUGGAGAUAGCUGGUUCUCUCCGAAAUAGCUUUAGGGCUAGCCUCAAGUGAUGAUUAUUGGAGGUAGAGCACUGUUUGGACGAGGGGCCCCUCUCGGGUUACCGAAUUCAGACAAACUCCGAAUGCCAAUUAAUUUAACUUGGGAGUCAGAACAUGGGUGAUAAGGUCCGUGUUCGAAAGGGAAACAGCCCAGACCACCAGCUAAGGUCCCAAAAUAUAUGUUAAGUGGAAAAGGAUGUGGCGUUGCCCAGACAACUAGGAUGUUGGCUUAGAAGCAGCCAUCAUUUAAAGAGUGCGUAAUAGCUCACUAGUCGAGUGACACUGCGCCGAAAAUGUACCGGGGCUAAACAUAUUACCGAAGCUGUGGAUUGUCCUUUGGACAAUGGUAGGAGAGCGUUCUAAGGGCGUUGAAGCAUGAUCGUAAGGACAUGUGGAGCGCUUAGAAGUGAGAAUGCCGGUGUGAGUAGCGAAAGACGGGUGAGAAUCCCGUCCACCGAUUGACUAAGGUUUCCAGAGGAAGGCUCGUCCGCUCUGGGUUAGUCGGGUCCUAAGCUGAGGCCGACAGGCGUAGGCGAUGGAUAACAGGUUGAUAUUCCUGUACCACCUAUAAUCGUUUUAAUCGAUGGGGGGACGCAGUAGGAUAGGCGAAGCGUGCGAUUGGAUUGCACGUCUAAGCAGUAAGGCUGAGUAUUAGGCAAAUCCGGUACUCAUUAAGGCUGAGCUGUGAUGGGGAGAAGACAUUGUGUCUUCGAGUCGUUGAUUUCACACUGCCGAGAAAAGCCUCUAGAUAGAAAAUAGGUGCCCGUACCGCAAACCGACACAGGUAGUCAAGAUGAGAAUUCUAAGGUGAGCGAGCGAACUCUCGUUAAGGAACUCGGCAAAAUGACCCCGUAACUUCGGGAGAAGGGGUGCUCUUUAGGGUUAACGCCCAGAAGAGCCGCAGUGAAUAGGCCCAAGCGACUGUUUAUCAAAAACACAGGUCUCUGCUAAACCGUAAGGUGAUGUAUAGGGGCUGACGCCUGCCCGGUGCUGGAAGGUUAAGAGGAGUGGUUAGCUUCUGCGAAGCUACGAAUCGAAGCCCCAGUAAACGGCGGCCGUAACUAUAACGGUCCUAAGGUAGCGAAAUUCCUUGUCGGGUAAGUUCCGACCCGCACGAAAGGCGUAACGAUUUGGGCACUGUCUCAACGAGAGACUCGGUGAAAUCAUAGUACCUGUGAAGAUGCAGGUUACCCGCGACAGGACGGAAAGACCCCGUGGAGCUUUACUGUAGCCUGAUAUUGAAAUUCGGCACAGCUUGUACAGGAUAGGUAGGAGCCUUUGAAACGUGAGCGCUAGCUUACGUGGAGGCGCUGGUGGGAUACUACCCUAGCUGUGUUGGCUUUCUAACCCGCACCACUUAUCGUGGUGGGAGACAGUGUCAGGCGGGCAGUUUGACUGGGGCGGUCGCCUCCUAAAAGGUAACGGAGGCGCUCAAAGGUUCCCUCAGAAUGGUUGGAAAUCAUUCAUAGAGUGUAAAGGCAUAAGGGAGCUUGACUGCGAGACCUACAAGUCGAGCAGGGUCGAAAGACGGACUUAGUGAUCCGGUGGUUCCGCAUGGAAGGGCCAUCGCUCAACGGAUAAAAGCUACCCCGGGGAUAACAGGCUUAUCUCCCCCAAGAGUUCACAUCGACGGGGAGGUUUGGCACCUCGAUGUCGGCUCAUCGCAUCCUGGGGCUGUAGUCGGUCCCAAGGGUUGGGCUGUUCGCCCAUUAAAGCGGUACGCGAGCUGGGUUCAGAACGUCGUGAGACAGUUCGGUCCCUAUCCGUCGUGGGCGUAGGAAAUUUGAGAGGAGCUGUCCUUAGUACGAGAGGACCGGGAUGGACAUACCUCUGGUGUACCAGUUGUCGUGCCAACGGCAUAGCUGGGUAGCUAUGUGUGGACGGGAUAAGUGCUGAAAGCAUCUAAGCAUGAAGCCCCCCUCAAGAUGAGAUUUCCCAACUUCGGUUAUAAGAUCCCUCAAAGAUGAUGAGGUUAAUAGGUUCGAGGUGGAAGCAUGGUGACAUGUGGAGCUGACGAAUACUAAUCGAUCGAAGACUUAAUCA
RNAcentral lists this ribosomal RNA (2919 nucleotides) under Staphylococcus aureus subsp. aureus CIG1214. RNAcentral describes it as "bacterial LSU rRNA". It matches the Rfam family "Bacterial large subunit ribosomal RNA". Lineage: Bacteria; Bacillati; Bacillota; Bacilli; Caryophanales; Staphylococcaceae. The record is from RNAcentral.